Molecule: ribosomal RNA, 406 nt
Filed under: uncultured bacterium
Lineage: Bacteria
Description: partial 16S ribosomal RNA
Rfam family: Bacterial small subunit ribosomal RNA
Source: RNAcentral
AUUGAACGCUGGCGGCAGGCUUAACACAUGCAAGUAGCGCGAGCGGCGGACGGGUGUGUAAUGUAUGGGAAACUGCCUGAUGGGGGGGGCUAACUACUGGAAACGGUAGCUAAUACCGCAUACCAUCUGAUUAGCCCAUAUGGGAUUAGCUAUGAGGUGGGGUAAGGGCUUACCUAGGCGACGAUCCCUAGCUGGUCUGAGAGGAUGACCAGCCACACUUGGACUGAGACACGGCCCAGACUCCUAAGGGAGGAAGCAGUGGGGAAUAUUGCACAAUGGGCGCAAGGCGGAUGCGGCCAUGCCGCGGGUAGGAAGAAGGCGUUCGGGUUGUAAAGCACUUUCAGUGAGGAGGCGUUACCAAUAGAAGAAGCACCGGCUAACUCCGUGCAAGCAGCCGCGGUAAUUG